GCCCCGGGGUUGUUCGAUUGGAGGGCAGCAGAACGUCGCCUUCAACAGCUGCUCAUGAAGGACCGAUGGUGGCACCAAGCCCCGGGAAUGUUCCAUUGGAGGGUAGUGGAACGUCACCUUUGGCAGCUGCUCAUAAACAACCGCUGGCGGCACCAAGCCCCGGUAAUGUUCCCUUGGAGGGCAGUGGAAUGUCACCUUCAACAGCUGCUCGUGGUGAGAUCAUUUAUUUUAAAACAGGGG
Molecule: long non-coding RNA, 240 nt
Organism: Ixodes scapularis (black-legged tick)
Lineage: Eukaryota; Metazoa; Arthropoda; Arachnida; Ixodida; Ixodidae
Exons: 3
Source: RefSeq, a predicted model, not a curated record